Molecule: long non-coding RNA, 475 nt
Organism: Cygnus olor (mute swan)
Lineage: Eukaryota; Metazoa; Chordata; Aves; Anseriformes; Anatidae
Exons: 2
Source: RefSeq, a predicted model, not a curated record
CCGCAGCUGGCCCCCAACAGCCGCAGCUGGCCCCCGCGAGAACAAAAAGCAAGGCGAGAAGACCAGCGAGUUGCUUCAGGAGCCCUUUUUCGUGGAGUAUCCUUAGCCAGUACCACUUCCCAGCCUGGGAAGCAAGCACGGGCUUGCUGCAGUUGUUGCUCUGCAGGCAGGGAGUAGCUCUGCAGCUAGAGAAAAUGAUGCUCAUCUGCUUCAGCGCGAGAGAGUAAAGUGUACAGGUGUCCAUAUGCAAGAUGGAAAGCACGUAGGAAACUCGCAUACUACGUCUUCAAAUAGCAGCACUGUGACGUAAAGGUUUCAGGAGACCUAUGAGCAAUUGUUAACUAUGGACAUGGUCCUGCUCAAAGAAAAAAACCUGUUGUUAUUACAAAAGGAUGUGGUCAAGCUUAUUACAAGUUCAGUGUAAUCUACCUAUUCCUUCAUCACAUGAAAUAAAAAAGUGGAGAAAUGCUUCUAA